This 492-nucleotide ribosomal RNA is filed under the name uncultured bacterium. Its description in RNAcentral is "partial 16S ribosomal RNA". It matches the Rfam family "Bacterial small subunit ribosomal RNA", at positions 29 to 507 of the family's 1533-position model. The record is from RNAcentral.
AGUGAACGCUGGCGGUAGGCCUAAUACAUGCAAGUCGAACGGCAGCACAGUAAGAGCUUGCUCUUACGGGUGGCGAGUGGCGGACGGGUAAGGAAUACAUCGGAAUCUACUUUUUCGUGGGGGAUAACGUAGGGAAACUUCUGCUACCACAGAAUAUGUCGAACGGCUGAAUGCAGGGGUUCUUGGGACUUUUGCCGUUUCAUUGAGCUGAUGUCGGAUUAGCUAGUUGGCGGGGUAAAGGCCCACCAAGGCAACGAUCCGUAGCUGGUCUGAGAGGAUGAUCAGCCACACUGGAACUGAGACACGGUCCAGACUCCUACGGGAGGCAGCAGUGGGGAAUAUUGGACAAAGGGCGCAAGCCUGAUCCAGCCAUACCGCGUGGGUGAAGAAGGCCUUCGGGUUGUAAAGCCCUGUUAUUGGGAAAGAAAAGCAGCAGGUUAAUACCCCGCUGUUCUGACGGUACCCAAAGAAUAAGCACCGGCUAACUUCGUG